GACGAACGCUGGCGGCGUGCUUAGCACAUGCAAGUCGAACGGUAAGGCCCUUCGGGGUACACGAGUGGCGAACGGGUGAGUAACACGUGGGUGAUCUGCCCUGCACUUGGGGAUAAGCCUGGGAAACUGGGUCUAAUACCGGAUAGGACCACUGCCUGCAUGGGUGGUGGUGGAAAGCUUUUGCGGUGUGGGAUGGGCCCGCGGCCUAUCAGCUUGUUGGGGGGGUGAUGGCCUACCAAGGCGACGACGGGUAGCCGGCCUGAGAGGGUGACCGGCGACACUGGGACUGAGAUACGGCCCAGACUGCUACGGGAGGCAGCGGUGGGGAAUAUUGCACAAUGGGCGCAAGCCUGAUGCAGCGACGCCGCGUGAGGGAUGACGGCCUUCGGGUUGUAAACCUCUUUCAGCACCGACGAAGCGCAAGUGACGGUAGGUGCAGAAGAAGGACCGGCCAACUACGUGCCAGCCGCCGCCGUAA
RNAcentral lists this ribosomal RNA (478 nucleotides) under uncultured bacterium. Its description in RNAcentral is "partial 16S ribosomal RNA". It matches the Rfam family "Bacterial small subunit ribosomal RNA", at positions 28 to 523 of the family's 1533-position model. The record is from RNAcentral.